Molecule: ribosomal RNA, 497 nt
Filed under: uncultured bacterium
Lineage: Bacteria
Description: partial 16S ribosomal RNA
Rfam family: Bacterial small subunit ribosomal RNA
Source: RNAcentral
GAUGAACGCUGGCGGCGUGCCUAAUACAUGCAAGUCGAGCGAACAGACGAGGAGCUUGCUCCUCUGACGUUAGCGGCGGACGGGUGAUUAACACGUGGAUAACCUACCUAUAAGACUGGGAUAACUUCGGGAAACCGGAGCUACUACCGGAUAAUAUAUUGAACCGCAUGGUUCACUAGUGAAAGACGGUUUUGCUGUCACUUAUAGAUGGAUCCGCGCCUCAUUAGCUAGUUGGUAAGGUAACGGCUUACCAAGGCAACGAUGCGUAGCCGCCCUGAGAGGGUGAUCGGCCACACUGUAACUGAGACACGUCCCAGACUCCUACGGGAGGCAGCAGUAGGGAAUCUUCCGCGAUGGGCGAAAGGCGGACGGAGCAACGCCGCGUGAGUGAUGAAGGUCUUCGGAUCGGAAAACUCUGUUAUUAGGGAAGAACAAAUGUGUAAGUAACUAUGCACGUCUUGACGGUACCUAAUCAGAAAGCCACGGCUAACUACGUG